GGUUGCGAUCAUACCAGCACUAAUGCACCGUAUCCCAUCAGAACUCCGCAGUUAAGCGUGCUUGCGCGAGAGUAGUACUAGGAUGGGUGACCCCCUGGGAAGUCCUCGUGUUGCAACCC
RNAcentral lists this ribosomal RNA (119 nucleotides) under Helianthus annuus (common sunflower). Lineage: Eukaryota; Viridiplantae; Streptophyta; Magnoliopsida; Asterales; Asteraceae. The record is from RNAcentral.